AUUGAACGCUGGCGGCAGGCUUAACACUUGCAAGUCGAGCGGGGGAAGGUAGCUUGCUACUGGACCUAGCGGCGGACGAGUGAGUAAUGCUUAGGAAUCUGCCUAUUAGUGGGGGACAACAUCUCGAAAGGGAUGCUAAUACCGCAUACGUCCUACGGGAGAAAGCAGGGGAUCUUCGGACCUUGCGCUAAUAGAUGAGCCUAAGUCGGAUUAGCUAGUUGGUGGGGUAAAGGCCUACCAAGGCGACGAUCUGUAGCGGUUCUGAGAGGAUGAUCCGCCACACUGGGACUGAGACACGGCCCAGACUCCUACGGGAGGCAGCAGUGGGGAAUAUUGGACAAUGGGGGGAACCCUGAUCCAGCCAUGCCGCGUGUGUGAAGAAGGCCUUAUGGUUGUAAAGCACUUUAAGCGAGGAGGAGGCUACUCUAGUUAAUACCUAGGGAUAGUGGACGUUACUCGCAGAAUAAGCACCGGCUAACUCUGUGCCAGCAGCCGCCGUAA
This 501-nucleotide ribosomal RNA is filed under the name uncultured bacterium. Its description in RNAcentral is "partial 16S ribosomal RNA". It matches the Rfam family "Bacterial small subunit ribosomal RNA", at positions 30 to 523 of the family's 1533-position model. The record is from RNAcentral.